CUCAGGAUAGCAAUUUAGGUGGUUUAAGAUCAGACCUGUCUGACUACAAAGCCACCAGGGCAAACUGGAUGAGACUGAUGUAUAAACUGUAUCCGGUUCUCAAAGGCAAGCACAUCAUCAAAGUUCAGCCCUCUCCUUGCUCCAGUUCAUAUCUGAAGAAACAGAGGCACCUGAAGUCAUAUAUUUCCCUGAUAAAUCAUUUGCCAAAUUGUCCUCCCAUUAGCACAUGAGACAGAUGCACCAAGGCAGGAACCAGCCCUCAUGCAUGAGAGGGUCUGGCGCCUGGCUAAGGCUCAAUGUGCUAAAUGAAGAAAUAGCGGGAACAAUGGGCAAUAGAUCUGUGAUCCUCUGUCCCUCCACACACAUCCUUAGAUUAAAAGGAUCAUGGAGUCCCAGGUUCUGAAAAUAAAGCAGUAAGUAUGUAGCCAUCCAUUUCAUCCAACACUCAGAAGUGCAGUCUCUUACCACAAUAUCCUUUGGACAAGGCAGUGUUCAUCUCACAGGGCACCUCUCCACUGGUGAGAAAUGGAUGGUCUCCCAAAGCAGGCAGUUGUGUGUUCCAGUGGCCUGGCUACAUGGGAGAAAACAGUGCAGGCUUUAGAGGUGAAAGGCCAGAAUUUGCAAGUUGGCUGUACCACCAUUUGCCUGCAUAUUUUGAGGCAAGUUUCUUAGUAUGCCUGAAAUGUGUUAGAGAAAUUUUUUCUUUGAUGCUCAGCUGUAACUAAAAGAAGAUUGUCUUUGAAAUAGAAAUGAUGCCAAGCACUUCCACAGUUUUGGGGAGAAUUGAAUGGUAUACACAGACAACAGCUCUUAACAAAUCUAUAAGGAAUGUUGUGGAGUUUCAAUUACAGGCUCUGCAUUUACAAGAAGUCUGCUGGCUCAUGCAAAUCCAUCCUGAUCAAAUAAACUUCCUAAGGGUUGGUGUCUGAAGGAUCUGCUUAACAACUGAGGACAUUCAGAAUAUGGGAAAAAAUGGUAAUGUUUGUAUAACAUUUUGAAGUACAAAAAGCAUUUUAUAUUUGUU
RNAcentral lists this long non-coding RNA (1024 nucleotides) under Callithrix jacchus (white-tufted-ear marmoset). RNAcentral's name for it is "lncRNA (ENSCJAG00000071062.1)". Lineage: Eukaryota; Metazoa; Chordata; Mammalia; Primates; Cebidae. The record is from RNAcentral.